UGGGGUGUAGCUCAGCAGCAGAGUACUUGCCUGGCAUGCAUGAAGUCCUGGGUUCAGUCCCCAGCAACACAA
Molecule: transfer RNA, 72 nt
Filed under: Heterocephalus glaber (naked mole-rat)
Lineage: Eukaryota; Metazoa; Chordata; Mammalia; Rodentia; Bathyergidae
Rfam family: tRNA
About the family: Transfer RNA (tRNA) molecules are approximately 80 nucleotides in length. Their secondary structure includes four short double-helical elements and three loops (D, anti-codon, and T loops). Further hydrogen bonds mediate the characteristic L-shaped molecular structure. tRNAs have two regions of fundamental functional importance: the anti-codon, which is responsible for specific mRNA codon recognition, and the 3' end, to which the tRNAs corresponding amino acid is attached (by aminoacyl-tRNA synthetases). tRNAs cope with the degeneracy of the genetic code in two manners: having more than one tRNA (with a specific anti-codon) for a particular amino acid; and 'wobble' base-pairing, i.e. permitting non-standard base-pairing at the 3rd anti-codon position.
Source: Rfam by way of RNAcentral